CACACUUCGUUUACAUUAUUUAAUAAAGAAGUAUGGCGCUUUUGACUCCGUGGUUCCGUUAAAAGGUUUUAAUCCGGGUUAGUGCUUUUAUUAUUAAUAGGAACGAAAGCGAGCUGAUCCUGGAGUCCCUGCAAUCCUUCUCGAAACUCCUGAACAGUUUGCCAGGGUUCAAAUUCAGUUCCUUUCAAGUUACCGGAGCAGUGAGGAUCAAGUUGCUAUUCAGUCAAGAGGAUCCAGGUCUAAGGAGAUCCUCGAUCCAGUUAUUAGGAGAUCUGGCAACAUCCCUUGGCCAGGAGACCAAUUUUGAGGCAUUCAAGGAUCGAGUGAGAUCCAAGGGAACCUCAUCACUUUACUCUUGCAUCUAUGCAAUCCAGACGUGUAUGUUGUCAAGGCCUCUAAAAGUACAAUCCAGAAGGUUGGCCCUUAUCUGGAUUUUCCGGAGGUAUACCGCAUGAUCCAGGAGUGUUUGGGCGACGACACCGACUUGAUGUUCACGGAUUUUAUUAAGGAGUUAAUUAAACGCAUAG
Molecule: unclassified non-coding RNA, 527 nt
Filed under: Anthonomus grandis grandis
Lineage: Eukaryota; Metazoa; Arthropoda; Insecta; Coleoptera; Curculionidae
Description: uncharacterized LOC126750022
Source: RNAcentral